GACCAACGCUGGCGGCGUGCGUAACACAUGCAAGUCGGACGCAGCAGGGGGCAACCUCUGGCUGCGUGGCGGACGGGUGAGGAACACGUGAGCAACCUGGCUCUAGGUGGGGGACAACCUGCAGAAAUGCGGGCUAAUCCCGCAUACGGCUCGUGUCGGAGGGGGCACGAGAGAAAGCAGAGAUGCGCCGAGAGAGGGGCUUGCGGCCGAUUAGCUAGUUGGUGUGGUAAGAGCGCACCAAGGCGACGAUCGGUAGCUGGUCUGAGAGGA
This 270-nucleotide ribosomal RNA is filed under the name uncultured bacterium. RNAcentral describes it as "partial 16S ribosomal RNA". It matches the Rfam family "Bacterial small subunit ribosomal RNA", at positions 28 to 300 of the family's 1533-position model. The record is from RNAcentral.